Molecule: ribosomal RNA, 460 nt
Filed under: uncultured bacterium
Lineage: Bacteria
Description: partial 16S ribosomal RNA
Rfam family: Bacterial small subunit ribosomal RNA
Source: RNAcentral
CCUACGGGCGGCAGCAGAGAGGAAUAUUGGUCAAUGGACGAGAGUCUGAACCAGCCAAGUAGCGUGAAGGAUGACUGCCCUAUGGGUUGUAAACUUCUUUUAUAUGGGAAUAAAAUGUUCCACGUGUGGGAUUUUGUAUGUACCAUAUGAAUAAGGAUCGGCUAACUCCGUGCCAGCAGCCGCGGUAAUACGGAGGAUCCGAGCGUUAUCCGGAUUUAUUGGGUUUAACGGGAGCGUAGGUGGAUUGUUAAGUCAGUUGUGAAAGUUUGCGGCUCAACCGUAAAAUUGCAGUUGAAAAUGGCAGUCUUGAGUACAGUAGAGGUGGGCGGAAUUCGUGGUGUAGCGGUGAAAUGCUUAGAUAUCACGAAGAACUCCGAUUGCGAAGGCAGUUCACUGGACUGCAACUGACACUGAGGCUCGAAAGUGUGGGUAUCAAACAGGAUUAGAUACCCCAGUAGUC